UACGUAGGUGGCGAGCGUUGUCCGGAAUUACUGGGUGUAAAGGGCGUGUAGGCGGUUAUAUAAGUCGGAUGUGAAAGCCCGCGGCUUAACUGCGGGAUUGCAUCCGAAACUAUGUAUCUUGAGUGCUGGAGAGGAAAGCGGAAUUCCCAGUGUAGCGGUGAAAUGCGUAGAUAUUGGGAGGAACACCAGUGGCGAAGGCGGCUUUCUGGACAGCAACUGACGCUGAGGCGCGAAAGCGUGGGGAGCAAACAGG
RNAcentral lists this ribosomal RNA (253 nucleotides) under uncultured bacterium. Its description in RNAcentral is "partial 16S ribosomal RNA". It matches the Rfam family "Bacterial small subunit ribosomal RNA", at positions 524 to 776 of the family's 1533-position model. The record is from RNAcentral.